UUAAUUGAAGAGUUUGAUCAUGGCUCAGAUUGAACGCUGGCGGCAGGCCUAACACAUGCAAGUCGAGCGGCAGCACAGAGGAACUUGUUCCUUGGGUGGCGAGCGGCGGACGGGUGAGUAAUGCCUGGGAAAUUGCCCGGUAGAGGGGGAUAACCAUUGGAAACGAUGGCUAAUACCGCAUAACCUCGCAAGAGCAAAGCAGGGGACCUUCGGGCCUUGCGCUACCGGAUAUGCCCAGGUGGGAUUAGCUAGUUGGU
This 257-nucleotide ribosomal RNA is filed under the name Vibrio cholerae. RNAcentral's name for it is "partial 16S ribosomal RNA". It matches the Rfam family "Bacterial small subunit ribosomal RNA", at positions 1 to 253 of the family's 1533-position model. The record is from RNAcentral. Lineage: Bacteria; Pseudomonadati; Pseudomonadota; Gammaproteobacteria; Vibrionales; Vibrionaceae.